Molecule: ribosomal RNA, 266 nt
Filed under: uncultured bacterium
Lineage: Bacteria
Description: partial 16S ribosomal RNA
Rfam family: Bacterial small subunit ribosomal RNA
Source: RNAcentral
CGACCGGCGCACGGGUGAGUAACACAUAUGCAACCUGGCCGUGACAGAUGGAUAACCGGGAGAAAUCCCGCCUAAUACAACAUAAUGCCGGGAGGGGACAUCCCCUGCCGGUCAAAGGGGGCGACCCCGGUCAUGGAUGGGCAUGCGGCGCAUUAGGUAGUUGGUGGGGCAACGGCCCACCAAGCCGACGAUGCGUAGGGGUUCUGAGAGGAAGGUCCCCCACAUUGGAACUGAGACACGGUCCAAACUCCUACGGAAGGCAGCAG